This 500-nucleotide ribosomal RNA is filed under the name uncultured bacterium. RNAcentral describes it as "partial 16S ribosomal RNA". It matches the Rfam family "Bacterial small subunit ribosomal RNA", at positions 28 to 523 of the family's 1533-position model. The record is from RNAcentral.
GAUGAACGCUGGCGGAAUGCUUUACACAUGCAAGUCGAACGGCAGCACGGACUUCGGCCUGGUGGCGAGUGGCGAACGGGUGAGUAAUGUAUCGGAACGUGCCCAGUCGUGGGGGAUAACGUAGUGAAAAUUACGCUAAUACCGCAUACGAUCUAUGGAUGAAAGCGGGGGAUCGCAAGACCUCGCGCGAUUGGAGCGGCCGAUAUCAGAUUAGGUAGUUGGUGGGGUAAAGGCCCACCAUGCCAACGAUCUGUAGCUGGUCUGAGAGGACGACCAGCCACACUGGAACGGAGACACGGUCCAGACUCCUACGGGAGGCAGCAGUGGGGAAUUUUGGACAAUGGGCGAAAGCCUGAUCCAGCCAUUCCGCGUGCAGGAUGAAGGCCCUCGGGUUGUAAACUGCUUUUGUACAGAACGAAAAGGUUUCUACUAAUACUAGGAGCUCAUGACGGUACUGUAAGAAUAAGCACCGGCUAACUACGUGCCAGCCGCCGCCGUAA